CUGUCCUAUGGGGCGCUCUGUGGGGUUUCGGUCGUUUUGGGGUCGGGUUGACCUCUGACCUUUGGGGUCGGGAUUUGGGGUGGGUUUGGGAUUGGGAUGGAUCGGGAUUGGGAUCAGGAUUUAGGGUCGGGAUUAGGGUUGGGAUUGGGAUCAGGAUCUGGAUUGGGAUUAGGGCUGGGAUUGGGAUCAAAAUCGGAGUCAGCAUUGGGAUUGGGAUCGGGAUUGGGGUCAGGAUUGGGAUUAGAAGUGGGAUCAGGAUUAGGAUCUGGGAUUGGGAUUGGGAUCUGGAAUCAGGAUUGGGAUCCAGAUCCAGAUUAGGAUUGGGUUCAGGAUUGGGAUCCAGACUGGGGUCAGGGUUGGGAUCAGGAUCAGGAUCCGGGAUUGGGAUUGGGAUUGGGAUUGGGAUUGGGAUCCAGAUCAGGAUCCGGAAUCAGGAUCUGGAAUUAGGAUUGGAUUCGGAAUCCGGAUCCAGAAUCAGGAUCGGGAUCUGGGAUUGGGAUUGGAUCCAGAAUCAGGGUGGGGAUCCGGGAUUGGGAUUGGGAUCCGGAUCCAGAUUGGGAUCCGGAACCAGGAUCUGGAAUUAGGAUCGGGAUCCGGAAUCAGGAUCGGGAUCUGGGAUUGGGAUUGGAUCCAGAAUCAGGAUCGGGAUCCGGGAUUGGGAUUGGGAUCCGGAUCCAGAUCAGGAUCUGGAACCAGGAUCUGGAAUUAGGAUCGGGAUCCGGAACCAGGAUCUGGAAUUAGGAUUGGGAUUCGGAAUCGGGAUCGGGAUCAGAUUUGGGAUCCGGAUCCGGGUCAGGAUCCGGUUCGGGCCCUGGGUUCCUUGGCUCCGCUUUGGGGUGGGCCCCGUUGUGGGGUCGC
RNAcentral lists this long non-coding RNA (858 nucleotides) under Numida meleagris (helmeted guineafowl). Its description in RNAcentral is "lncRNA (ENSNMEG00000000781.1)". Lineage: Eukaryota; Metazoa; Chordata; Aves; Galliformes; Numididae. The record is from RNAcentral.